UCAGACCAGCGGCGGACGGGUGAGUAACGCGUGGGUAAUCUACCCAUAAGAGGGGGAUAACACUGGGAAACCGGUGCUAAUACCGCAUAAGCUAUUUGGUACGCAUGUACUGAAUAGUAAAGGUGGCCUCUGGUAACAAGCUACCGCUUAUGGAUGAGCCCGCGUCUGAUUAGCUAGUUGGUGGGGUAACGGCCUACCAAGGCGACGAUCAGUAGCCGGCCUGAGAGGGUGACCGGCCACACUGGGACUGAGACACGGCCCAGACUCCUACGGGAGGCAGCAGUGGGGAAUAUUGCGCAAUGGGGGAAACCCUGACGCAGCGACGCCGCGUGAGCGAAGAAGGCCUUCGGGUUGUAAAGCUCUUUUAUUAGGGACGAAAUCCUGCAUGCGAAUAGUGUGUGGGGAUGACGGUACCUAAUGAAUAAGCCCCGGCUAACUACGUGCCAGCAGCCGCGGUAAGACGUAGGGGGCGAGCGUUGUCCGGAAUUACUGGGCGUAAAGAGCGUGUAGGCGGGCUGUUAAGUCAGGUGUGAAAGACCGCAGCUCAACUGCGGGGUGGCAUCUGAUACUGGCAGUCUUGAGGGCAGGAGAGGGAAGUGGAAUUCCUGGUGUAGCGGUGAAAUGCGUAGAUAUCAGGAGGAACACCAGUGGCGAAAGGCGGGCUUCCUGGACUGAUCCUGACGCUGAGACGCGAAAGCGUGGGGGAGCAAACAGGAUUAGAUACCCUGGGUAGUCCACGCUGUAAACGA
RNAcentral lists this ribosomal RNA (749 nucleotides) under uncultured Bacillota bacterium. Its description in RNAcentral is "bacterial SSU rRNA". It matches the Rfam family "Bacterial small subunit ribosomal RNA", at positions 87 to 809 of the family's 1533-position model. The record is from RNAcentral. Lineage: Bacteria; Bacillati; Bacillota.